RNAcentral lists this transfer RNA (72 nucleotides) under Saccoglossus kowalevskii. Its description in RNAcentral is "tRNA-Glu". It matches the Rfam family "tRNA". From Rfam's summary of the family: Transfer RNA (tRNA) molecules are approximately 80 nucleotides in length. Their secondary structure includes four short double-helical elements and three loops (D, anti-codon, and T loops). The record is from RNAcentral. Lineage: Eukaryota; Metazoa; Hemichordata; Enteropneusta; Harrimaniidae.
UCCCAUAUGGUCUAGUGGUUAGGAUUUGGCGCUUUCACCGCCAAGGACCGGGUUCAAUUCCAGGUGUGGGAA